AAUCUAUACUCGAUACUUUCAUCUAAUUUAGUCAAUUUCUCUGUAUAGUUUUUUCUAAAAAGUUGAUAUUCUUCUUUACUAAUAACAUCUUCUUUUAGAUCAAGGUAUAGGGAAGAUAAGAGUUCUUCUGUCAUUGCUUUUUCUCGUUUUAGUAUAGGAAUUUGAUUGUCUUUCAAAUUUUUAUUUAUAUCUAUACGCUGAACUUUAGAAUAUAGAUUUUCAUUAAAUUCAAUGUAGGACUUCAUUAUUUUAGAUACUGCUUUUAUCAAGGUUUUUUCUUUUAUGCUGUGUCUUGUGCAAGAUUUUUCCUUGUUGUACUUUGAACAGAUAUAGAAUAUCUCUUCUCUUUUUUUAUACUUUACAGUCCUUCUAAUCAAAGAACUUCCACAUUCUUUACAAAAAAGCAUUCCUGUAAAAAUAUUAAUUUUGUCCUUUCCACGAGAGUUAUUCAAAUCUCUUUUAAGCAUCGUAUUUGCAAUAGUAAAAACUUCUUUACUUAUAAUUGCUUCAUGGGUAUUUUCUGCUCUUAUCCAUUCUUCUUUCUCUUUUUCUAUCUGCUUUUUAUUUUUGUAACUUAAAGUAACACUCUUUCCUUGUAAGGUAUUUCCAAUAUAUACUUCAUUUUCUAUAAUUCUAUUUACUGUCUUUGCUGACCAAGUUCCACCUUUUGUAUUUUGAAAUCCAUUACACUUAAAUCCUUGACUUUCUUUAUAUUUUCUUGGAGUUAAAACUCCUAAAUGAUUUAGUUCAUCUGCAAUUGCCUUUGAGGAAUAUCCCAAGAGUUUCAUAUCAAAUAUAUUUUUGAUAAUAUCCGAUAUCUCUUUAUCAAUCACUAACUUGUUUUUAUUCUCCUCAGACUUUUUAUAUCCAUAAGGUGCAAAAGCACUGAUAAAGUCUCCUUUUUCUCUUUUUAUCUUUUGAGAGCUUUUUACCUUAUUGGAAAUAUCUCGGCAAUAACUAUCAUUGAUGAAGUUUUUUAUAGGAAGUAUAAGGUGUGUAUCAUUUAUAUCUGCACUUUUACUAUCGUAAUUGUCAUUUACUGAUAUAAAUCUUAUACCGUUUUCUGGAAAUAUUCUUUGAAUAUAUUUUCCUGCUUCUAUAUAAUCUCUUCCGAAUCUCGAUAAGUCCUUUACAAUAAUUGUAUUAAACUUUCUAGCAUAGGCAUCCUUUAUCAUUUCUUUAAAAUUGGGACGAUCAAAAUUUGCACCUGAAUAUCCAUCAUCUACAUACUCUUUGACUAUUGGAAUUUGAUUUCUUCUUGCAUAAGAGUUUAUAAUUUCUCUUUGAUUGGAUAUCGAGUUACUUUCUGUUUUUUCGCCAUCUUCUUUUGAUAAUCUUAAAUACAUAACUGCCAAAUUUUCUUUUGGUAAAUUGUUUUUAAACAUAAAAAAGCCUCCUUUAGUUCAAUUUACAUACAAUAAAUCAAACCAAGGUUAGGCUUCCACAAAAAUAUUAUAACGCUCCUUAUAUUUUUUGUCAGCCCCUAAUAGACAGAAAAUUUUUCUUUGAUGUAUUCCUCUACUAAAUUUUCUAAACUAAAUCCAUUCUCAUUAAAUUUAACUUCUAUAUUCCAACCAUCAAUUUGAUUUAUCAUCUGUUUAUCUUUUUUAUCUGUUUUCAUUUCUGUAUUUAUAUUAUGUUCAUCACACAUAAUACCUUCUCCUUAUCUUCAAUAUUUUUAAGUUUUUUGACAUUAACAGGCGUGUAGGUCACGACAUUGGAAUUUCACCACCGCCCCUUUUCAAGAUGAGCCGGCAACAACUGUAGAAGUAUCAUUAUCCCCAUUUGCUUCAAUGCAUCAGUUUCCUAGGCUGAAUAUAUAAUUUCUUUUUGUCGCUCGUUUUCUUUUAUCCUUCUUUUAACUAGAGUAUUUAUUUAAACCGAAACUCUUAUCAGCAGAAAAGUCAUGGCGAAGAAAUUAUAAAGCUCCACAAAUGGUUAAUGUCCUGUCUUGGUCUAUUCAGUUGUCAAGGUUCAAAUCUAUAUAUAACGAGGUUUUAAAAGUCCCUCUAUAUAUAA
Molecule: ribosomal RNA, 2019 nt
Filed under: Anaerococcus tetradius ATCC 35098
Lineage: Bacteria; Bacillati; Bacillota; Tissierellia; Tissierellales; Peptoniphilaceae
Description: 23S ribosomal RNA
Source: RNAcentral